Molecule: unclassified non-coding RNA, 222 nt
Filed under: Hevea brasiliensis (rubber tree)
Lineage: Eukaryota; Viridiplantae; Streptophyta; Magnoliopsida; Malpighiales; Euphorbiaceae
Source: RNAcentral
GUAAGUUUCUUCUUGCACAAGUAUAUGUCGGUGCUCAUGUUCUAUGACUACUAUCAUUUUUUUGCCCAUGUACAAUUCCACCAUGUUUCUAGUUGAAUUUUAUGUAUUAGGAUGGGAAGUAUCAGUUGAGAAGGUUUUUCUCUGAAAUCUUGUUUUCUCUUGAUUUUAAGGAUCAUAUGGUGGAAAGCUGUAGUGCUUAUGGGUAGAGAGAGAGAGAGAGAG